RNA transcript from Gymnodraco acuticeps, 1924 nucleotides. It is a transcript of the gene named impact RWD domain protein, with no coding region annotated. The record is from RefSeq and is a predicted model, not a curated record. Lineage: Eukaryota; Metazoa; Chordata; Actinopteri; Perciformes; Bathydraconidae. The transcript has 3 exons.
GUACGGUUAAUGUAUUAUAUUAUUGAGGGAGAAUUUGUCCGGGGCUAAAGAAAAAACAUCCGGGGCUAAAGCCCCGGAUGCCUACCCCAGGCGACGCCCAUGGUUGAAACAUCUGGCAAGAAGGCAGAAGGAUUUCAGAUCGAGUCUCUGGAUGGAAAAGUCCUCAUCUCUCUUCCACCAAUCAUUGAAUGUCACGAGAUCCCAAAUAAUCGGUCUGAGAUUCCCACACCCAGUGCCGUUCUUCACCAGCCUCAUCUUCAUCAUAUUGCCAAUCACAUCCCAGAACUGGACCAAGAAGCCGAAAUACUUCUGCUCCUUGGAAGAGACGUCCUUCAGGCACACAAGGUCAGGCAGCAGGUCAACGGACCACACAACGCCCCCUUUGCCCAACGACUGGACCUGGGCUGGGUAGUGAUAGGAGAGGUGUGCCUGGGUAAUGUGCAUAAGCCCAUAGUCAACGUGUUUAAAACCAACGUGUUGGACAGUGGUCGCCAUUCAAUGUUCGAUCCAUGCACAAGCUUUAUGCAUGUUAAAGAGACAGCAAAGCUUCAGCAGACCUGGCAAGGUUACUGAGAAAAUGCUGGGACAGAUAGUGUUCAAUCAAACUGAACAUGACAACAGACCAGCUCCGUCAGUGGAAAAUGUCACCUUCUUAAAGAUAAUGGACAAGAGUGUCUACAGAGACGACGCCAACAGUUGGGUCGCUCCACUACCAUUUAGAGAACCACGCAGGCCUUUGCCGAACAACAAAGUGCAGGCAGUGAACAGGUUCACUUCCCUGCAACCAACCUUAAAAAGGAAACCUGAGACGCAGGAGCAGUAUGUGGCGUUCAUGAAAAAGAUCUUUGCCAACGGACAUGCUGAGUUAGCACCGCCAUUGAGAGAAGAUGAGGAGUGCUGGUAUCCCCCAACCUUUGGGGUGUAUCAUCCAAAAAAGCCAAACAUUAUCAGGGUGGUCUUUGACUCCAGCGCCAAGUACUCUGGUGUCUCCCUCAACGACGUUCUCCUCACGGAUACAGACAACCCCUUCAUACUUUCACCAUCAAUGCUCCUAACACAGAAGACAGGAGUUCUGCCUCCACCAGGAGACUUCUCUGACAAAGACUUGUACACAAAGCAAUGGAGACAAGUUCAAACUCUAGCCAACCAGUUCUGGAACCGCUGGAGGAGAGAAUAUCUACCUUCUUUGCAGCAUCGACAGAAGUGGACAGUGCAAUGCAGAAACCUUCAAGUUGGAGAUCUAGUUCUGCUCAGAGACAAGCAGGUGACCCGCAACUGCUGGCCUAUGGCCAGGAUCAUAUCCACAUUUCCUGGAAAGGAUGGAAAUGUAAGAAAAGUUGAAGUGAAGACGACGGACCAAGGCACAAUUAAGACAGUUCUCAGACCAAUUGCAGAAGUUGUUCUGCUUCUACCAGAAGACUGAUUCUAAGUUUAGUGACCUCACAGAGGUCAGACGGGGAGUGUGCUGUCUUAAAGGCAUGUUAUGUUAUAAUUUGUUUGCAGUUCAUAAAGUCACCACUAGGAGUGCUAAUGGUCAUGUUAUCUUUAAGUUCGCCGUUCUUAGCGUCACUUCCGGUUUACGGCAUCGCCACUUCCGGUUUAACAUUAGAGAAACGGCAUGGCCAGAGAGUGUAUUUCUCCAAAUAUAAUCUGCUUCCAUCCACAAGAAACAUCCUAGAGGCAAUGCUAUUCUGGAUGUGCGAAACGUCAUGGUGGUCGUGUCUCGAUGGUACGGAGGUAUUUUAUUGGGUCCUGACCGUUUCAAACACAUCAACAACUGUGCCAGAAAUAUCCUGGUGGAGGAAGGUUACACUGCCUCCACGGAUGAGGCCACCAAAUCUGGAGCGAAGAUCAAAAGGCCAAAAAGCAAGAAGAUGAAAUGAAUGUGGGACAAGACUAAAAAGACUUUUAUUCAAACACAUUU